This 427-nucleotide ribosomal RNA is filed under the name uncultured bacterium. Its description in RNAcentral is "partial 16S ribosomal RNA". It matches the Rfam family "Bacterial small subunit ribosomal RNA", at positions 355 to 774 of the family's 1533-position model. The record is from RNAcentral.
UGGGGAAUAUUGCACAAUGGGCGCAAGCCUGAUGCAGCCAUGCCGCGUGUAUGAAGAAGGUCUUCGGGUUGUAAAGUACUUUCAGCGGGGAGGAAGGUGUUGUGGUUAAUAACCUCAGCAAUUGACGUUACCCGCAGAAGAAGCACUGGCUAACUCCGUGCCAGCAGCCGCGGUAAUACGGAGGGUGCAAGCGUUAAUCGGAAUUACUGGGCGUAAAGCGCACGCAGGCGGUCUGUCAAGUCGGAUGUGAAAUCCCCGGGCUCAACCUGGGAACUGCAUCCGAAACUGGCAGGCUUGAGUCUUGUAGAGGGGGGUAGAAUUCCAGGUGUAGCGGUGAAAUGCGUAGAGAUCUGGAGGAAUACCGGUGGCGAAGGCGGCCCCCUGGACAAAGACUGACGCUCAGGUGCGAAAGCGUGGGGAGCAAACA